GGAAAAUCAGGGAAGAGGCGACAAGAAAGAGCAAUGGAGGAUGGAGAAGCAUAUGUCAACAACAACAUCUGGGAAAGUUACCUCUCAAAACAGUUCAUCACCCAUUAGGCAUUGGCCUUGAGGGCGGGGUUAUUCAGAACUGUGAACAUAGAUAUUUCCAGGAUGGAUUGACUCCCUCUCUUCCCAGGAGCUCCCUGACUUCUACCUCUUUGAGCAUUUGCUCUCAAACCCAAAAUUCCACUUGCAUCUUAGCUCAAUGAACAGCUUAGAUAAAUUACCAAAAACGCUGGAUUAUGAGCCUCGUUCCCAUACACGGAUUGGUUUACUGAACAGAAUAUCUUCAAAUCAACUAGACCAAGCCUGUCAACACUGAGAAAAAGGGGAAGACGUAACUUAAGAAACAUAUGGGUUCCUUCUGAAGCCAACCAGUGUCAAAGAGAUCAGUGGUGCUUGUUACUGCCUUCACUAUUGUGAUAAACAUUAUCACACUAAAAUGUGUAAUAAUAAUGUAAUGAGGGCAAGGCCUUUGGUUUGCUUUGUUUACUGUUGUGCCUUUAGUAACCAACAAAAACAAAAGACACAGACAUAUAAGGAUUCAUCACACAUUCAGGAAUGACAGAGAGCUUGUGCUAUUAAAU
This 638-nucleotide long non-coding RNA is filed under the name Equus caballus (horse). RNAcentral describes it as "lncRNA (ENSECAG00000057728.1)". Lineage: Eukaryota; Metazoa; Chordata; Mammalia; Perissodactyla; Equidae. The record is from RNAcentral.